This 480-nucleotide long non-coding RNA is filed under the name Amborella trichopoda. Its description in RNAcentral is "long non-coding RNA (ATRI_LNC003034)". Lineage: Eukaryota; Viridiplantae; Streptophyta; Magnoliopsida; Amborellales; Amborellaceae. The record is from RNAcentral.
CUGCAUGAACCGUCAUUCAGCAUUUAAUUUACAUCAUACAAAAGGAUAAACAUAGAAUUAUCAUGGAAUAAGUAUAUCAACAUACAUGGACUACAAUAAAGCAUAAAAUUAGUAACAUAUGAUCUAAAAAUAAAAUGAUAGACGACGUUAUUGUUCUUCUCGUUCACGCUGGUGCCAUUGAUUGAAUUCGUUUAACAAUUCAUUGAUUCGAUCUAAAAACGAAUCAUCGAUAUUAGCAGGAGUUUGACUAUUCCCAAAUCCCUGAGUGUUAGUAUUUUGUUGUGUUCCCAAUCUAAAAUCCCCGAAGAUUGUCCUUCCUUCAUGCUCACCUGCACUGUCGUGCUCAUCCCUACACUGUUGCUGUUGGGACUCGAUAUGUGAAUAAUAUGGUUGGGAUAGGGUGGCCUCAGAAUCAUCAUCUCUCUCAUUUUCUCUUUGAAUAAUAUGGAAUUAAAAAAAAAAAAACAAAUUUUUAAAAAA